CACUGAUCAAAUCUCCUGGAUUCCCAGCUAAAAUGAGGCUCUGUUCUUGGGUUUGGGGCCUUCUAAUGCUCUGGAUGACUGGGUCCAGUGGCGAUAUUGUAAUGACUCAGACUCCACUCUCCUUGGCUGUCACCCUGGGAGAGAAGGUCUCCCUCUCCUGCAGGUCUAGCGAUAUUAUAAUGACUCAGACUCCACUCUCCCUGGCUGUCACCCUGGGAGAGAAGGUCUCCCUCUCCUGCAGGUCAAGUCAGAGCCUCUUACAUAGCGAUGGAGAUAGUGCUCUAUUUUGGUACUUGCAGAAGCCUGGCCAGUCUCCCAAACUCCUAAUCUACUGGGCUUCCAACCGAGCUUCUGGGGUCCCAGGCAGAUUCAGUGGCAGUGGGUCAGACACAGAUUUCACACUGCAAAUCAGCAGGGUGGAGGCUGAGGAUAUUGGGGUUUAUUACUGCAUGCAAGCUAUAGAUACUCCUCCCACAGAGAUAUAG
Non-coding RNA from Dipodomys spectabilis (banner-tailed kangaroo rat), 485 nucleotides. The record is from the annotation of a RefSeq genome assembly. Lineage: Eukaryota; Metazoa; Chordata; Mammalia; Rodentia; Heteromyidae.